CGAGUCAUUGUAGUAAUACAAGGCAGACGGCUCAGUAACGCGUAGUCAACCUAACCUAUGGACGGGAAUAACCUCGGGAAACUGAGUAUAAUGCCCGAUAGAACAUUAUGCCUGGAAUGGUUUAUGUUUCAAAUGAUUUAUCGCCGUAAGAUGGGACUGCGGCCUAUCAGUUUGUUGGUGAGGUAAUGGCCCACCAAGACUAUUACAGGUACGGGCUCUGAGAGGAGUAGCCCGGAGAUGGGUACUGAGACACGGACCCAGGCCCUAUGGGGCGCAGCAGGCGAGAAAACUUUGCAAUGUGCGAAAGCACGACAAGGUUAAUCCGAGUGGUUUCUGCUAAAGGAACCUUUUGUUAGUCCUAUAAACACUAACGAAUAAGGGGUGGGCAAGUUCUGGUGUCAGCCGCCGCGGUAAAACCAGCACCUCAAGUGGUCAGGAUGAUUAUUGGGCCUAAAGCAUCCGUAGCCGGCUCUGUAAGUUUUCGGUUAAAUCUGUACGCUCAACGUAC
Molecule: ribosomal RNA, 508 nt
Filed under: uncultured archaeon
Lineage: Archaea
Description: bacterial SSU rRNA
Rfam family: Archaeal small subunit ribosomal RNA
Source: RNAcentral